RNAcentral lists this long non-coding RNA (1647 nucleotides) under Piliocolobus tephrosceles (Ugandan red Colobus). Its description in RNAcentral is "lncRNA (ENSPTEG00000003587.1)". The record is from RNAcentral. Lineage: Eukaryota; Metazoa; Chordata; Mammalia; Primates; Cercopithecidae.
UAAUAAAAAUAAAAAUAAAAGUAUUAAUAUAAGGUCAGUGAGAAACGCUUUAUUCAUUAAAAGUAAUAACGAAGUAUUCGGAAUGAAUAAAAAUAUAUCAAGAAAAUCUAGAAUCAAUUUUCAUUUACUAUAUAAUAUUGAAAUGGAAGAAAAUAGUAAUACCAAUAAUGUUUCUUCUUUAAAUGAUGACGCAUACAUUAAUCAUGGUAAUAUGUCAGAUUUCAAUGGUAAUACACAUUUAGAUUUACAAAAUAAAAACAUAAACAACGACAUGUAUGCUUAUAAUAGUAGCAAUGAAAAAAGAGGGGGGAACACACAUAAUAAUAAUACUUUAAAAAUUUUAAAUAAACAAGUGGCAACUUCUAUAAAAAAUGAGAAUAAAUUAUUAUUUAUAUAUGGUGAACAAUAUAGUAAUCAAUACGAAAUAAAUGCAUACGUAUUAAAACAUAUGAUAAAAAAAAGCAAUAACAAAGAGUUAUAUUAUAUGUAUAAGAGCAUGAUAAAGGUUCUUAAUUUAUUUUAUAAUUAUAAAAUUUAUAAUUUUAUAAUGUAUAUGUCUGAUGACAAUGAAAUAAUAUAUUUUUCUAUCAUCCCUUGUUGUUUUAUAGACACAUGUAAUGUAACAAAUAUCUGUACAAAAUUAACUGAUGUUUACAGACGUUUGAAUAUACGCACUAUGCAUAAGGUUUCAAAAACUGGUAGUGGUGGUAGUAGCAGUGGUAGUGGCGGUGGUAGUGGUAGUGGUAGUGGUAAUGGCAGUGGUAGUGGCGGUGGUAGUGGUAGUGGUAAUGGCAGUGGCGGUGGUAGUGGCAGCCGUAAAAGCAGCCGUAGUGAUAAAAAAAAGAAAAAAACAGUUUAUGACAAUAUAUUUAAAAGUAAAUUUAUUAAUAUUCCUUACAUUUUUCUUUUUCUUUUAAAAAGUGCUUUAAUAAAUAGUUCAAAUGAAUUUUAUAAAGAUUUAAAGUUGCAUCCAUUGGAUGUUGCAAAAAUAUAUAGGAAUUAUAUACAUAACCCAUGUAUAAAUGAUAAUAUUAAAAAUUCAGAAAUAAAAAAAACAUUUGAUAAUUUUUUAAGAGUAGGUUUUACGAAUGAAGAUAUAAAAAGCAUAACUCGGAUAGUAUUGGCUAUUAUAUAUAUAAAUGUGUAUAUAAAUAUAAGAACAUGCUUAAAUAUAAAUAAAAAAAAAACGUUACGUAUUUUGGAUAUAGAAUUAAUGCCAAUAGAAGAUUAUUUAAAAAUAAGAAAUGCAUAUGAAAUAUACGAAAGUGAGAAUAGCGCAUCAGGUAAUAAAACUGGCCAUGUAUAUAAUUUAUUAAAUUUUGAUUGUGACGAUUUUAUGAGUGAUGAGUUAAGUCCAGUUUUUAUGGAAGAAACAGAUGAUUCAGGUGACUGUAAUAAAACAGUCGCGAAAAAGAAAAAUAGUCAUAACAACAAGAAUUAUAACACAUCGAAUAAAAAAGAAAAUCUGAAAACAAAAAACAAAAAACAUGAGUAUAAAACUGUAAAAAACAAGAAAGGCAUUUCUACAUGUUUUAUUGUUUUCGCUGGUCACAUUUUGGAAGAUUAUAUAUCGUACUUAUUAGAUAUAAAUUUACAUAUAUUUUUAACUAUUUUAAACAAUACAGUAAAAUUAAAAAAUUUGUGUAC